This 98-nucleotide signal recognition particle RNA is filed under the name Oscillospiraceae bacterium. RNAcentral describes it as "signal recognition particle sRNA small type". It matches the Rfam family "Bacterial small signal recognition particle RNA". Rfam says of the family: The signal recognition particle (SRP) is a universally conserved ribonucleoprotein involved in the co-translational targeting of proteins to membranes. Archaeal SRP consists of a 7S RNA and homologues of the eukaryotic SRP19 and SRP54 proteins. In most bacteria, the SRP consists of a 4.5S RNA and the Ffh protein (a homologue of the eukaryotic SRP54 protein). The record is from RNAcentral. Lineage: Bacteria; Bacillati; Bacillota; Clostridia; Eubacteriales; Oscillospiraceae.
CAAAGAAAGCCGCACGAGGGUAGGCUGUGAACCGUGUCAGGUGGGGAACCAAGCAGCACUAAGCGGAUUCUCCCUGCGAUGCAUAGCUUUCUUUGUAU